UAUGCUCACACUCGUCAACUCUUUCCUCCUUGAUUCUUGGCAUUCCAAAGAUUCUUACUUGGGCUGCACACCGCUCCGGUGCUUCCAGUAGUACGGGCCCAAUACUACUGUCCGCACCGCACCAGAAUACACUCCAAGUCCUCCUCUUCGGAUUCCAGGUCUCAAGUACUCUAUCAUGCGUAGACCACUCUCUAAUAGAUCUCUCAUAAGUCCCUCGCUGCUACCUACUCACUCUCAAGCAUCUCAUAGCAGCUCACCUCUCCCUAGGCUAAGGCAUCACAAAUCAGGCCACUCUAGUCCUAAUAGCAAUACCUAGCCUACUCUAGCAUGCGAAUACAUCAUAUCAAUGUCAAUAUCACAUAAUAUAUAAAGGUAUUUUGGGAAAUCACCGUUCGGGCGCUGACUGAUCGUACACACAUCUCUUGCUCUGCGUUUUUCAAAAAUCUUUUACUCUUUUUGAAAAUACAUCUCAAAUCCUCAGUUUGAGUUCAAAUACGCCCGAAGGUGUACUCGAAUCCCUCAAACCAAGGCUCUGAUACCAACUUGUAACACCGUGAAUUUCAAAAUAAUUUUUCGCAAUAUAAAAAAAAACAUUUCUCAUUUAAUUUCAUAAAAACAUUAAGUUUCAAAUUCCAAUAUGUAUCAUACAAAUCCCAAGAUCACAUAAAUAUAUCAAAAGUCCCCUGCAUGUGUACAGAUCAAGUCGGCGCCUUCCCACGGUCAUCGCUAGUACCUGAAACAACAACACUAACACUGUAAGCACGAAGCUUAGUGAGUUCCCCAAAAUACCACACAUAGAACGCAUAUUAGCCACUCGAGGCUAUAACUCUAUGGGUCCGUGCACCCAACUCUGUGAACCCUCAGGUUCUAACUCUAGGAACCUUCCGGUUCCAACUCUGUAAUCAUGCACAACAUCAAUCACAUAGAAAUAAUGCAGUACAACACAUAGCAUACACAUAACAUUGGUGCUAGGCUCUAAAACUCCAAGGAAUCAACUACAACUACAAGGUAAGUGUUUCUACUAGCUCUAUUUGAUUCAAGUUCUCCAUGCCAUGCUAGUUAGGAUAUGAACCUUGGAAAAAUAAUUAUUUGCAUGUAUCUUAGACAAACAUAGAUCCAAGAUUUAUUAGGGUUGCAUGUACACUUAGGAAGUGUUAGAAUGCUCAAAACCCAUCACUUCGGGGUAUCCUUCCCAAUAGACUACAUUCUGAUUCCCAUGGGGGAUGUAUGUGUGAUUGUGGGUAUGGACUGGUUGAGUCGCAUCAGUUCCAUGAUCGACUGCGAGGGUCAGUAGGUGGUAGUUCGAACCCCAGGUGGGGGAGAACUGGUUAUCUUCGGUAAGGGCACCAGGCUAGGAUCAGGGUUUUGCUUGGCUGCCAGGACUCGACAGUCUAUUCAGCACGAGUGUGUGGGUUACUUAGCGUAUGUGGUGGAUAUGCGGGUUAAGGAUUAGGUUUCGGUUUCAUAUGUUCUGGUUGUCAGGGAGUUCGCUGAUGUGUUUCCGGAGGAGUUAUCUAGAGUGCGUCCAAAGAGGCAGGUCGAGUUCAGGAUCGACCUAGUGCCAGGUACGGUCCCUGUCGCCAAGGCGUUGUACCGAUUGGCACCACUAGAGAUGCAGGAGCUGUUAUCACAGCUGCAGAAACUGUUGGGCAAGUAGUUCAUUCAUCCGAGUAGUUCCCCGUGGGGAGCACCGAUUCUCUUCUUGAUAAAGAAGGAUGGUUCACACCGGAUGUGCAUUGACUACCAGGAAUUGAAUAAGUCGAUGGUGAAGAACUGUUAUCCACUACCACAGAUCGAUGAUCUCUUUGAUCAGCUGCAUGGAGCAUCUUGGUUCUCCAAUAUAGAUUUGAGGUCCGGGUACCAUCAGGUCAGGGUACGACAGGAGGACAUGGUGAAGACCGCGUUCCAGACUCGUUAUGGACACUACGAGUUCGUGGUAAUGCCGUUUGGGCUCACCAACGCGCCAACUAUAUUUAUGGACCUAAUGAAUCGGGUAUGUUGACCGAUUCUCGAUCGCUCAUUCAUUGUGUUUAUAGAUGACAUCAUAGUGUAUUCCAAGACCAGAGAGCAGCACGAGGAGCAUCUUCGGGAGUUACUGGGGGUCUUGAGAUGAGAAUGGAUUUAUGCCAUGAGGAACUGGGCAUGCGACUGCAUUUCAGUACCACAUACCAUCCGUAGACAGACGGCCAGAGCGAGCGGACCAUUCAAACCCUCGAGGAUAUGUUGAGGGCCUGUGUUAUUGACUUCGGUGGGAUUUGGGAAUCCUACCUACCCUUGCAAAAUUCUCCUAUAACAACAACUAUCACUCCAGCAUUAGUGCUCCACCUUAUGAGCUGUUGUACGGACGGAGAUGUCGUACCCCGGUCUGUUGGGGGUGAGGUUCGCCACAGAGUAAUGGAACGGACAGAGGUAGUUUCGCAGACUACCGAUAGGAUUCAACAGAUCAGGUAGCGACUGCAGACUGCUCAGAGUCGGCAUAAGAGUUACGCCGAUCGAUGCCGAUCUGAAUUGGAGUUUCAGGUUGGUGACAUGGUGCUACUGAUGUAACACCGUGAAUUUCAAAAUAAUUUUUCGCAAUAUAAAAAAAACAUUUCUCAUUUAAUUUCAUAAAAACAUUAAGUUUCAAAUUCCAAUAUGUAUCAUACAAAUCCCAAGAUCACAUAAGUAUAUCAAAAGUCCCCUGCGUGUGUACAGAUCAAGCCGGCGCCUUCCCACGGUCAUCGCUAGUACCUGAAACAACAACACUAACACUGUAAGCACGAAGCUUAGUGAGUUCCCCAAAAUACCACACAUAGAACGCAUAUUAGCCACUCGAGGCUAUAACUCUAUGGGUCCGUGCACCCAACUCUGUGAACCCUCAGGUUCUAACUCUAGGAACCUUCCGAUUCCAACUCUGUAAUCAUGCACAACAUCAAUCACAUAGAAAUAAUGCAGUACAACACAUAGCAUACACAUAACAUACAUACAGUAACACAUAGCUCUGAUUACCUACUCAAGGUAAAGUAUAGUGAGAAGACUCACCUCGCGUAUCUCGGUAUCUCACGAAUCCUGGAAAUCCCUCGUGCUCGAUCCUCCGAGCUCUAAUCCUCCUAUAACAUCACAUGACUCUAAUUAACACUUUUUAUCUCUAAGGUUGACUAUCUCUAAUUAACACUUUUUAUCUCUAAGGUUGACUAUCCCUAAG
RNAcentral lists this long non-coding RNA (3184 nucleotides) under Lactuca sativa (garden lettuce). RNAcentral describes it as "long non-coding RNA (LSAT_LNC004912)". The record is from RNAcentral. Lineage: Eukaryota; Viridiplantae; Streptophyta; Magnoliopsida; Asterales; Asteraceae.